CGAUAACGAACGAGACCUUAACCUGCUAAAUAGAGAUGCGAACCUGCGUUCGUAAGCUCUUCUUAGAGGGACUGACUACGUUUAGUGGUCGGAAGUUUGAGGCAAUAACAGGUCUGUGAUGCCCUUAGAUGUUCUGGGCUGCACGCGCGCUACACUGACAGAGGCAACGAGUAUACAACCUUGACCGGAAGGUCUGGGCAAUCUUUUUAAACUCUGUCGUGCCGGGGAUAGAGCAUUGCAAUUAUUGCUCUUCAACGAGGAAUUCCUAGUAAGCGCAUGUCAUCAGCGUGCGUUGAUUACGUCCCUGCCCUUUGUACACACCGCCCGUCGCUACUACCGAUUGAAUGGCU
RNAcentral lists this ribosomal RNA (350 nucleotides) under uncultured eukaryote. Its description in RNAcentral is "SSU rRNA". It matches the Rfam family "Eukaryotic small subunit ribosomal RNA", at positions 1326 to 1698 of the family's 1831-position model. The record is from RNAcentral.